Molecule: ribosomal RNA, 235 nt
Filed under: Priestia megaterium
Lineage: Bacteria; Bacillati; Bacillota; Bacilli; Caryophanales; Bacillaceae
Description: Bacillus megaterium partial 16S ribosomal RNA
Rfam family: Bacterial small subunit ribosomal RNA
Source: RNAcentral
UAUUGGGCGUAAGCGCGCGCAGGCGGUUUCUUAAGUCUGAUGUGAAAGCCCACGGCUCAACCGUGGAGGGUCAUUGGAAACUGGGGAACUUGAGUGCAGAAGAGAAAAGCGGAAUUCCACGUGUAGCGGUGAAAUGCGUAGAGAUGUGGAGGAACACCAGUGGCGAAGGCGGCUUUUUGGUCUGUAACUGACGCUGAGGCGCGAAAGCGUGGGGAGCAAACAGGAUUAGAUACCC